GCGGAUAGGUGUCCGCAGGGAUGUGGCCGAGAAGGCUGAACCAUAAA
RNAcentral lists this non-coding RNA (47 nucleotides) under unclassified sequences. Its description in RNAcentral is "eL15-Euryarchaeota ribosomal protein leader". It matches the Rfam family "eL15-Euryarchaeota ribosomal protein leader". The record is from RNAcentral.